RNAcentral lists this ribosomal RNA (433 nucleotides) under uncultured bacterium. Its description in RNAcentral is "bacterial SSU rRNA". It matches the Rfam family "Bacterial small subunit ribosomal RNA", at positions 29 to 440 of the family's 1533-position model. The record is from RNAcentral.
AACGAACGCUGGCGGCGUGCCUAACACAUGCAAGUCGUGCGAGAAAGUUCCUUCGGGAGCGAGUAAAGCGGCGCACGGGUGAGUAACACGUAGGUAACCUGCCCCCCAGUCUGGAACAACUAGAGGAAACUCUAGCUAAUGCCGGAUGAGACCACGAUCCCUUCGGGGGUUGCGGCCAAAGAUGGCCUCUACUUGUAAGCUAUCGCUGAGGGAUGGGCCUGCGGGCCAUUAGCUUGUUGGUGAGGUAACGGCUCACCAAGGCUGUGAUGGCUAGCUGGUCUGAGAGGAUGACCAGCCACACUGGGACUGAGACACGGCCCAGACUCCUACGGGAGGCAGCAGUGGGGAAUAUUGCGCAAUGGGCGAAAGCCUGACGCAGCGACGCCGCGUGGGUGAGUGAAGGGCCUCGGUUCGGUAAAGGUACCCGUACGUU